GUGACGGAAGAUUGAAAAGAACUUUGAAGAGAGAGUUCAAUAGUACGUGAAACUGUGUGGUGGUAAACGGAGGGGUUCUCGAAGUUUCUGUGGGGAACUCAGCCUUGGUGUCGCGUGGCCCUGUUGUAUCCGAUCAGCAAUGACGGUGCGGCUUGGCUUGCGUGUCUCUCGGGUGCAUUUCCCCCGCAGUUUACGGCAGGAACUGUUUGGAGCUCACCGAAGGCCCUGGGUGAAGUUGUUGGUUCUGCUAGCAGCCCCGGGUGUCCUGGCUUAGCACCAGACAGGUACGUGAGAGGACUCGUAUAGCGAGCAAUGCUCUGUUGCGGUUCUCAUCUCUCUGCCGAGUAGGUCGGCGGCCCCUCCGACCCGUCUUGAAACACGGACC
RNAcentral lists this ribosomal RNA (385 nucleotides) under Calanus simillimus. RNAcentral describes it as "partial large subunit ribosomal RNA". It matches the Rfam family "Eukaryotic large subunit ribosomal RNA", at positions 353 to 667 of the family's 3401-position model. The record is from RNAcentral. Lineage: Eukaryota; Metazoa; Arthropoda; Copepoda; Calanoida; Calanidae.